This 1081-nucleotide long non-coding RNA is filed under the name Helianthus annuus (common sunflower). The record is from RNAcentral. Lineage: Eukaryota; Viridiplantae; Streptophyta; Magnoliopsida; Asterales; Asteraceae.
AUGCUGCUGGAGUGGUUGUGGGGACGUGUCUUCGUGAUCGGUCAGGGUAAUGCAUUCUCAACUUUGUGUUGAUUUUACAUCUUGAUUUUAUGAACAUGAGAACAUUGAGGGUCCAUAGCUAAUGGAGCGGAAGAGCAGUAUACGAGUGAGUUCGAGAAGAAGGUAUAUACUUUGAAGAUGGAAGUGACUACGCAGAGAUCUUUGUGUAGGUUACGAAGCUGCAGGUGAUAAAGGAAUCCUUUUUUUUAUUUCGACGCGAUCUCAUUUGGGAUCUCAUGCCCCAAUUGGGGAACAUGAUACAUACACUCUCAGAUUGGUUGGGUACAUCAGACGGCUUAAUUAUUACAAUUAAAAAAAAGAUAAAAUGGAUGGACUCGAUGAGUGAGCUGGACAAGAAACAUAAAAAGGAAAAUGUUGAAAUGCUUGAAGAAGCGAAGAAUGCACUCUCCCUCAAGGCUGACAUUGACUUCCGAGGGCACAGGCGUUUUGCGGAACCUGGUGGAAUAAUGGAUUUUGGUGAAGACUGACGAUCCAAUAGAGCGAAAGAACAAGCGGAGAAACUUUUGUAAGAACUGUCAUGGCGUUUUUGUUGCUGUUGAGACGGGUGUGGCUCCGGUGGCGUUUUGCCGGUGGUCGUAUACAACCGAUAACGGGUUCACAAAAUCUUCGUACACUGCAGCAUUUCAUUCUGGAAACGGGCCCGAGAUCAGUGAUUCGGGUCAAGUUAGAAGACUUAGUCAAUAGCGUACCAAACGGGUGCUUUUCAUUUGAACCUGUUAUUGAUGUUAGAAAGUUAAUCAAUAAAGUCCGAUAAGUGAUUCGGGUCAGUUUAGAAGAAAUGAAGUUAGCUUCAAAAGCCGAAAAGAACGGGAAAAGACGAAAAACACGAUGAUCAACCCGGACCCUGAUUUCCAUGAUUUUGAUAACGACAGAUCGGAGAAAGUAUUUAAACCCAAACAAAUAUGGGCGAUUUACGAUGAACAAGAUGGGAUUUUGAUAGCAUGCUAUCACAUUUUAUUUUGUAACACGUUAUAUCACAUUUUAGUAUGUUCGCAUUUGUCCGAAAACCUAAUAGACUUUC